UUCGUAGCUAGCUCUGCCUCUGUCCCAAAUGAGUUCAAAUAUAACCAAAAAAGUGCUUUAAAGCUUAUUCAACACAUAACAAAUAAAUACUUAAAGAAAGGGAUAAGACUAAAUUCAUGUUACGGUGAUUGUGAUAAAACUGUAAUAAAUUUUAUAUUUGAAGAAAUAGUAGUUGUUCUUAAUAGUGUUGUGUAUAUAAACUCUAGUACUGCAGCACCUGAAAGUAAUUCUUCCAACAAUGAAUCUCAAGACUGUGACAAUACAGAUAAAAUAUCAAGUACAAGCUUAAAAAUCAUAAAAAAGAUUGCUAGUAAUUUAUUAUUAAAAGGAGGGAAAGUAAGACACGAUCUCUUCUAUCAUGGUAGGAUAGGAUAUGCAACUACUGCAUUUGUUGGUAAUAAUAAUUCUUCUCGAUUUAAUGAGUAUAUCGUUGCACAAUGUAAGGAAAUUAAAAACGAUCUAUAAAAUCUAGCAUACGAGAGUAUUUUAAACAAAAAUAAGCAAACCCAAAAGGAUGAAUUAGAAGUAGAGAUAGAUAAUGGAUAUUUUCAUAUAGAAUAUCCAGAAGAUAGUGUUAUUGAAGUUAUAAAAAUCCUAAACAGUGAAAAAGCUAAAGAUUUAAAUUUAACAGUCGGCAUACUAAAAAUUGGAGAAAGUACAGUAAGAGUUGAAAUCAUAGGGGAAAAAAGGAAUUACACAGACCUUGCGGAUAAUAGUGAUAUAGCAUUGACUUUUAAUACCAGUGAAGGAGAAUUAGAAGUUAGAUUGAAUCCUGAUAUGCGAAAUAAAGACCUAAUAAGGGUAGAAGUAAGGUCUGCUGGAACGAUUAAAAAUUGUAACGAAGAAAUAGGAAAGAAUUGCUUACUAGAAAGUUUAUCAGUUAAUGAAGCCAUCGAACAAGGGUAUUUUAAAGAGCCUGGAAAACUUUGUCAAUCUUCUGAAACAACGAGUCCAUCCAGCAAGAUUGUCGAGGAAGAAAAAUUGCAGAGAGGUAAUAAUUAUUGGCAAGAUAAAAAAGUGCAACGCUCAAUGGAAAAAUAAGAAGGUGGUAAAAGAAGGUAGAUCUACCGAUUUUGAAAAUAAAAUCUCACGGUUAUUAUUUUUAAUUAAGCAAAAGUGGUCAUAGUAUUUAGUGAUAAAAACCAUAAAAAUAUACACCAAUAAAAUAACCUUAUUAGUCAUAAAAAAUAACUUGUCUUGUUAAUCAUUCCGGUUAUUAUAUUAUCUGUGAUAAUAAGAGAUUUUUAUGUUACCAUCAAAAAACGCUAAAAAUUCCUCACACGAACAAAGUGGUCAUUCAACAAGUUCAGGUAAAGCAGAUCGUAAAAUGAGUAAAAAACGGAAGCGUUCUGUUGCAGACAAAGAUGAUACAGUAUCAAAGAAGCUGUGCGUGGAUAUAAAUGUUACUAGUAAUGAAGAUUCAGUAUUUCCUAGUGAUUUACAAGAUGAACCUAGACAGAAUUUGUUUCACGAAGAAAGAAAAUUUGCUAAAAGUGUUGCGGGCAGAGAAGAUACACCUAGGUUUAAUAAGUUCUUAGAUUUUUUAAUUAAUGGAGAAGGAAGAAGAUAUCUAGAAAUUCUGAAAAGAGAAGGAGUAAAUUUAACUAAUAUAUUUAGUAUUUUAGGCAGAGCAGGAGCUAAUGCUUCUAAAGCUUUUGAAGACUUAUAUGACCUUUUGUUUGAUGCAGAAGAAAACAAAACACAGUAUUUAAAAACUCUAGAAGAAGAAGGAAUAAAUCUAUCUAAUAUGUCCAGUAUUUUAGGCAGAGCAGGAGCUAAUGCUGCAAAAGCUUUUAAAGACUUAUAUGACCUUUGGUUUGAUAGAGAAGGAAAUAAAACUCAAUAUUUAAAAACUCUAGAAGAAGAAGGAAUAAAUCUAGCUAAUAUGUCCAAUAUUUUGCAUGGAAUAGGAGCUAAUGCUGCUGCAAACGCUUUUAAAGACUUAUAUGAUCUUUGGUUCGAUGUCGAAGGAAAUAAAACUCAAUAUUUAAAAACUCUAGAAGAAGAAGGAAUAAAUCUAUCUAAUAUGUCCAGUAUUUUAGGUGGAUCGGGAGCUAAAGCUCCUAAAGCCUUUAAAGAAUUAUACGAUCUUUGGUUCGAUGAAGAAGGAAAUAAAACUCAAUAUUUAAAAACUCUAGAAGAAGAAGGAAUAAAUCUAUCUAAUAUGUCCAGUAUUUUAGGCGGAUCGGGAGCUAAUGCUUCUAAAACCUUUAAAGAAUUAUACGAUCUUUGGUUCGAUGGAAAAGGAAAUAAAACUCAAUAUUUAAAAACUCUAGAAGAAGAAGGAAUAAAUUUAGUUAAUAUGUCCAGUAUUUUGAACGGGGUAGGAACUAAUGCUGCAAACGCUUUUAACGAACUAUAUGAUACUUUUUUUGAUAAGCAAGGAAAAAAACAAUAUUUAAAGGCUCUAGAAGAAAAAGGGAUAAAUCUAGCUAAUAUAUCCAGUAUUUUAGACGGAGCGGGAGCUAAAGCUUCUAAAGCUUUUAAAGACUUAUAUGAUCUUUGGUUCGAUGGAAAAGGAAAUAAAACUCAAUAUUUAAAAACUCUAGAAGAAGAAGGAAUAAAUCUAUCUAAUAUGUCCAGUAUUUUAGGUGGAUCGGGAGCUAAAGCUCCUAAAGCCUUUAAAGAAUUAUACGAUCUUUGGUUCGAUGAAGAAGGAAAUAAAACUCAAUAUUUAAAAGCUCUAGAAGAAGAAGGAGUAAAUAUAUCUAAUAUGUCUAGUAUUUUGAAUGGAGCAGGAAUUAAUGCUGCAAAAGCUUUUAAAGACUUAUACGAUCUUUGGUUCGAUGGAGAAGGAAAUAAAACACAAUAUUUAAAAACUCUAGAAGAAGAGGGAAUAAAUCUAUCCAAUAUAUCAAGUGUUUUAAGUGGAUCAGGAGCUAAAGCUGCAAACGCUUUUAAAGGCUUACAUAAUCUUUGGUUCGGUGCAGAAGAAAAUCAAACUCAAUAUUUAAAAAUUCUAGAAAAAGAAGGGAUAAAUCUAGCUAGUAUAUCCAGUAUUUUAAGUGGAGCAGGAGCUAACGCUCCCAAAGCCUUUAAAGACUUGUAUGAUUUUUGGUUUGAUGCAGAAGGCACUAAAACACAAAAUUUAAAAACUCUAGAAGAAGAAGGAAUAAAUCUAACUAAUAUGUCUAGUAUUCUGCAUGGAGCAGGAACUAAUGCUACAAAGGCUUUUAAAGUACUAUAUAAUACUUUUGUUGAUGAGCAAGGAAAAAAAACACGACAUUUAAAGCAUUUUAUUGAGAAAAAAGAUAAGGAAGAAAGUUUUACGCCGCACAACUUAUCUGGUAUAUUAAGUGGAGCAGGAGCUAAGACUAAAGACGCUUUUAAAAAAUUACAUAGUGUUUGUUUUAAUGACAAAGGAAAAAGAACAGAACUUUUAGAUGAUUUCUAUAAUGCAGGUUUUAGGCCAGGUAACUUAUCCUGUGUGUUAUGUGGAGCAGGAAUUCGUGCUUCUUCUAUUUUAAAAAGAUUGCAUAGUGUUUGUUUCAAUGAAAAAAGAGAAAAAACAAAACUUUUAGAUGAUUUCUAUAAUGCAGAUUUUAGUCUGGAUGAUUUAUGCAGUGCAUUGGCUGCAGCAGCAGAUAGUUUAGAAAAAUUUCAUGAUUUUUGUUUUAUAGGUGAAACAAAAAAGUAUUUAAAUCAUUUCUUAAAAGAAGGUUUCACGCCGAAAAAUUUAUCUAAGAUAUUGCACGGCGCAAGAGCUAAGAUUUGUUCUGCUUUAGAAGAUUUUCAUGAUGUUUGUUUUGAUGAGACAGGAAACAAAACACAGCUUUUAGAUGAUUUCUAUAAGGCAGGUUUUAAGCCGAGUUAUUUAUCCGGUAUAUUAUCCAUGGCAGGAAAUAAUGCCUCUUAUAUUUUAAGAGAUUUUCAUAAAUCUUGUUUUAACAAAGAAAAUUAUUUAAACCACUUCUUAGCCGAGAAAAAACUCUUUACGCCAAAAAAUUUAUCUAAGGUACUAGAUAGAGUAGGACUUAAUAUUCGUCUUAUAUUUGAAAAAUUACAUGAUCUUUGUUUUGAUGUUAAAGGAAAUAAAACACACUAUUUUAGUGAUCUUAUCAACGCAAAUCAUAAGCCGAGUAAGUUACUCAGUAUAUUGUAUAAGGCAGCUAUAGGCAUUAGUGGGAUAGAAGAAGACAAAACAAAUGAUACAGGUUCUAAACUGAGUAAUUUAUUCGAUAGAACGAAGCAAGAACAAAAUUUAGAUAGUUUACAACAAGGCGGUUCUAAAGUUAAGAGAAAAACCCGGAAGGGUAUCACUAACCAAAGUAAGAACAAAUAAGAUGAUAAAAUUUCAAAUUCAGUAGCAGGAAGCUCUUGCAGCUCAAGAGAUUUAUCCCCAAAACAAACACAGUCAGUGCACCAUAACCAGUAUACCCACAAAGUAAAGGAUGUGCUACUCAGAUGUAUCCGUUCAGCCAAUGGCGUCAACUUAAGGGAAAGUAUCAGUGAUUGUGUAUAAAACUUCUCUCUAAAUUUUUUACCAUUAAAUUACCCAAAAGCUGCAAUAAACAGCACCUUUGUUUCUGUUUUAUUUCAACAAAGAAGUCUAAAAUAUGUCCUUUUUAGGCGAAACAUGCAAAAAGGAAAAAAUCUUAUUCUACAAAUUAAAAAUAUAGUAUACUCGAAAGCUUUUCAGAGAAUCCAUUGUGUUGAGUUUUACACGAACAAGAAAACUUUCUUUUACUACAGUAUUUUCUAUGAUUUUAAAGUUAAUUAAGAAACGUUUAGGAUAAUGACUCAUUGAAUUGACACAUAUUCUGACGCUCAUGGGUUAUAUUAUGUUUAUUGUGAUUGAGUUUGUUUCGCUCUCAGCCAACUAUGGCGCUGUAAGUUUCUCUGUGUUGACAACAUAACCAUCUAGUGUGAAAAAUUAGCCCUCAGAUUCAUUGUUCACAAGUGUACAUACCACUACAUACAAGCAUCUGUCUAGUGGUUUGACGCAGCAGCAGCGCUGCUUAUUAAGGCCGUAUUCGAAAAUUGACUGACAGCACUGUCAGCAAUCCUUUAUCUCUUUUGCGCCUUUAAGUUCGCGAAUAGCUCUGACUCUGUCCUAGGGAAUUUUCAGUGCUGUCAGUCAAUUUACGAACACGGCCUAAAUGUUUUGCGUUUGCUGCUCUACUGUUUGGAUGAAUAAACUUCAAGCAGCAAAAACUUCCGCCGGAAGUGCUAGUAACUUUCAGUGAAUUGCUGCUGCUCCCAAUUUUGUGCUGCCCACGAAAUCACAGCCUAAUAAUACUGGCACUAUCACUUGUAUGCCUAGAAAUAUAGCUGACUUUCCGGAGAGAGAGAUAGCAUAGCAGGGAAGUAUCGUCUCUCUCGCACCGAUACAGUCUUGGUGUAGACACUCUAGUGUAUUUAGG
Molecule: RNA transcript, 5363 nt
Organism: Neodiprion fabricii
Lineage: Eukaryota; Metazoa; Arthropoda; Insecta; Hymenoptera; Diprionidae
Exons: 2
Source: RefSeq, a predicted model, not a curated record